UAUAUCAGCACUCAGGUUGUUUUUCUACUUUAAGUUUGGUAGCCUCCUGCCUCCCACCACAAAAUGGACCCUGGGACAGACAAAGGACAUGAGUGGAAAACUGCUGAAGACAGAGAUCUGGAGUUCAUGGGGAGGCACCGGGGCUAACCAAUGCUCCACACAAUGACCAAGACGGUAGCCUUAGGGAAGCUGGGGGAGCACAGGUGGACCCUCUGAUGUGGCUGAAGAACCAGGCCUGGUGCUUCCCUACCCUUUACAGACAUGCAAGCCUUCGGAUAGCCUUGUCUGCAUCCUUGGAGCAAAGCCAGUAUUUUUACAAAUGAUGGAAUACUAAGCAUAUGGAACUGCCCAGGUGGAUGAGAGCAGGUUAGGAGACCACCAAAUAUGAAUUCUCU
This 395-nucleotide long non-coding RNA is filed under the name Ictidomys tridecemlineatus (thirteen-lined ground squirrel). RNAcentral describes it as "lncRNA (ENSSTOG00000030527.1)". The record is from RNAcentral. Lineage: Eukaryota; Metazoa; Chordata; Mammalia; Rodentia; Sciuridae.